GAAGGAGCUUGGGAGGGGGAACGCCGUAGGUUCCUGGGGAGGCAGGUAGGUUCCUUGGGAGGGGGAACCUCGGUCGUCCCAAGGAAGGAAGAUAGGGGAGACAAACAAGGGCACAGCUCCCCGUUGUCGUUGUUGCUCCUCCUCCAAGAAACGGAAGAGACGCGCGUCGGUCGUCAAGUUCCGGGAAUUCUAAUUCUAACCGCCAGUGAGAAGCAGCUACCGCUUGUGCCCAAAUAGUGCCGCAUUGAGAACAGGUUUCCAAGUGUCGCGUAACACGUCACUCGACUGAUACUACGAUCUAUUUUAGAGGAGAUAAGAAGGUAGUUAACUCCGUCGAGCUGGUCCUACAUCUCGUCCUUAUGUCCUUAACACGUUGAAUAUGGUAUAUCAACUCUUUCCUUCCGAGUAUUGAGUCGUGACGUAGCUUACAUCAUUUGAGAUGAACCGUUAAUGUCCACUCCGCUAAAAUAGUGCCACACUUUCCCAGUCUCUGAGUGAAUUUGCCUCAGAGAAGGACUAAGUCUUAUACCAGGGUUGUCAUAAUCGAUUAGUCUAACGACUGCAGGUGUUACUAGAAGCUCUACAUUUUAAAAGACAACUAGGUGACCUUGUUCUCCGACCGUUUAGUUAAAAUCUCUACGAAGCCGUCAGACUACGUUGACUUCUUGAAGAUGAAGUCUGUAAGUACGUCCGUCGAAGUUUCAAUUUGGACUGUAGAGGAUUUCGAUAGAAUUAACUUUCUUCUCGCUAGUUCUUUGACGAGCUAUUCUAAUGACCAUGACUAGUCUUUUUCCUCGUCCAAGAAUUCAAAGAGGAUGUAGAACAAUGUUUCAUACCUUUCUUGCAGUUUGGUCUGUGACCACUCGCCUUACUUUUAAAUGUUAGACUUUCAUUCAGAAACUCAGGUUCGAAUUCAGAACGUUCGCUACGGUCAUGAGGACUUUUCACGCUGUUCGGUUGUAUGAAGGUCCCUAUACUCAUAGUCUCAUCGUACAGACCUCUUUGGUGUGGUGGAUGUCUCAAGACAACGGGUUAUAGUUGUUUCGAUUACGUACUAGGACACUAUUAUUGUAGACCUGUCUGAAUGCUUUCUCUUAUAUAACUCUUUACCAAGUCACUCCCUAUGUUGUGAACAGGGUUCUGUGUUUUUUUCGAUCUUUUGAAACGCUACUAAGGUUUAUGAACGUACUCCCUAGAGUAAACGUUGACCACGUCUCUCGUACCAAAGUGUUAGAGUCUAAAAGAAGGUUCGUUUCUAAGGAUGUCAAUAAACGGUCUCGUUAACGUACCAGUGAGAUACAGUUCAAACGUGUUACAAAGUCAUGGAGAUUAACGACCCUUACGGUCCUUAAAACACUAACUAGUGUCGUCAAGUAGACAGCGCAAAAGACUACGGUCAAUACAGAGUCUAAGGAGGGUACACUUCCUAUACCUCCUCGGCUUCCUAUGAAAAAGAGUCAAGAGAACCUCACAUCUAAUAGUCUUCGUAGACAGUAAGGUGUUGAAGUUGGUCACGUACAAGGACUCCAAGAAGACGCUCGACAGGUUCGAGGGUAAUCUUUAUGUUCCUUCGAGGUAAUUUCUAGACUUCUUGUAAGAAGUGCUACUGCUACUACAAAGGACCCGAUACCGCAGGGUACCUAAACAUCUUCGUAAGGAGCUUAAGAACUCUUUACUAUCGUCGUCGAUGUCAUACUUUCGAGUUGUUCGACCUAAUGUAAAAAAAGAAUUAAAGGAAAGGUUGUCGUCCCGAUUCUAAGGUAGGUACCUACUUCUUCGUAAGGCAGAAUAGUGCAGGAAGGAGUCAAGCCUCGAUUUUUGACUUCGAAACAACCACGAGGUACUUGACUAAGCUGUGGACUCAGCAGUCGUUAGGACAGUCUACCGGAGACAACAGUGAGGAGGACAAAACCGUUAUAACCGUAGACUUCUAUAGCUCCCGGAACUCGAAGGGAACUUCUAAUAGACACUAGAAAGUAGGCUACGACUACACUUCAGUCUCGACUAAAGUGAACCUUAUUAGAGUUUCGACCAAGGGUAAAACCGUCUUCCUUCGAAGCAGCUCACGACAAACCUCUAAAACGCCUUGAAUACGCUGUACCUUCUUCGAUACCACGAAUAAUGGUCUUGUCUGGCUACAGAACCAAGGUAACGUCUCAUAGAUCUGUGCCCUUCGGGAUUUCUUGCUCUUGAACGUCACUAUUAGGAAGACCGUUAUACAAGGGCAUCGCACCUCCUAACGAGGGUCCACUACUUCCUCCCGCAAUAGGGGCGGGAGCACCUGGACAGCCACUUGCCCUAGCUACUUCGCUUCUCGACGAGCAAGUUCGAUGACUUAGAAGACUCCCUAUACUCCGUUUCGCUCGAGUUGUUGAGCACAAGGGUUCUUCACCGCCGGCGGCGGCUUCACUAUCUCCUAGGAGGGUGGCUCUCGGGCUAAGUGUCCGCCGGUCGUAGCUUCAGUAGACCAAAAAAGGUCUCCUUCGACUUGUAAAAGAGCUUUGGAGCCAGGGACUGCGACAAAACUCCUGGCUCAACCAUCCGGAACAUGUACAAUCAUAUGUUGUGAUUGGCAAGAAAAAAACCAAGAACCGUACCUAUCUAUCAUCGUCAACAUAACGGGUUUACUUUACGAACCACUCUACAAGAAAUAGUAGGAGCUCAGAAAGUCAUAUAUAACCAAUCGUCUAAACAGUCAGAACGACUAACAUCUACACACAUAUUCUUCAUUUCUUUCUGUCGACCAUAUCAAAGUAGGUACAGAACACACCGUUUUUCAAACGGAGAGACACACAUCACACAUGAGAUGACAAGGUGUCAUCGACCUUUCGGGGCCCCUUUAUAGACCAUG
This 2851-nucleotide ribosomal RNA is filed under the name Triticum aestivum (bread wheat). RNAcentral's name for it is "partial small subunit ribosomal RNA". The record is from RNAcentral. Lineage: Eukaryota; Viridiplantae; Streptophyta; Magnoliopsida; Poales; Poaceae.